UUACUUUUGAAAGUGUUAAGUAACUCUAUACAAUUCUUGUAGAAAGUGAAAGGGAAUGCCGUGAGAAUCGGCAGCAAUACCCGUUGCUGUAAGUCUUUUACCUCUUUUCGGAGGAACUAAAGUACACUAUGUCACUGUUAAUAAAUAAUGGGAAGGCACUUUAGUUGGACAAGCCAGAAUACCUGCUUAACACAUAACAAAAUG
This 204-nucleotide non-coding RNA is filed under the name Bacteroides coprosuis. The record is from RNAcentral. RNAcentral also lists the same sequence under 1 other name. Lineage: Bacteria; Pseudomonadati; Bacteroidota; Bacteroidia; Bacteroidales; Bacteroidaceae.